AUUAUUUGGAUCAAACCAGGAAUGCAUAUUGACGCUCAACUACGCGUCAUUGUCCACGUGACAUAAUAGUUAUCCAAAAGGAACAGAAGGCUAACCGCGUUCGACGGUGAUAGUUGAUCAGCAGACUGUAUUCUAAUAGGGGAUCGUUUUUUACAACGAAAAUUAAAAUCAGAUUCAUCACUUCAGCCAUCUUAUAAUGGAGGAAAUUGCAGCAGCAUUGCUUCAGUUAGUCGAAAUGAAUAAGCAAAUAGUGCAACAGAAUAAACAGAUAGUCGAGAAAUUGAGUGCGAUUCAGAGUGAUUUAACUCGAGACCGAGAGGAGCGUCUUGCCAGGAAGCAAUUCAAAGCUAAGGCAUUUAGAGAGCUGGAUAUCCAGUACAUUAUGAAAAACAAGAACGUAGACGCAGAGGAAGCUGCUGCAAGACUGGAGGAGUAUGGGUACGAUGUUGCCAAAGCUGUCAGAAGAUGGGGUGGACACAGCGAAGUUGGAUUAGAACGUGUUCUCAUACAUUACGCAAAAAAGAAAAAUCGAGCAGCAAUUGAAAUGUGGUGAAAGACUAUUUUUUCGUUACUUAUUCGCAGAACUGCGGCUGAAGGAAUUAUUUAGGGGCAAAGUUGUUUAAUUCCUCUCACCCAAUCCUAUUUUUUAUUAACUCCACCUGUUAAUGUCUGUGGAAUGUAUCUAUGUGAAGAGAAAUAUUCUAUCACAGUUCUAGUAAAAAUACCAGAACAAAUCUAUUUAUAUAUAACAAAUCUAGAAAAAUUAAGGCAAAAAUUCACUUCCAACUUGAUCACUUCGAUGGCACUAAUCGUUUGCUUGUGGGGUGUGAGGGAAAAUAUAAAAAGUAGAGGUAAUGACUAACACAAAAGUCCAUCCAAUUAUUACUCUUAUUUUAGCACAAAAAACAAUACAACAAUCUAACCUCGAUUCAGUACAUGCAGAUAUAUUUUUAUUACACUUCUUUUCUAUACAUGUGUAAUUCAUAUGCUUAUAUUAAAAAUUGUUUGAAAGAAAUGGGAAAAUGGAAGUUUCGUAAAUAUCUACCUGUUGAUUUCUUUUUCCUUUUUGAGAAAUCACCAAUGGAAUGGGAUCAAAUUACGCUAUUUAGUUCAUGACAAGUAGAGGAGAUGGUUAAUGUCUCAUGAAAAUAGUAGGUAAAGUAAAACUAUUCAUUCAGAAGAACAAUUUAAAAAUCGCCUGUUUAGUCUGAAUAUUUCUACUAAUUGGGAGGACCAAAUAGUAAUUAUCCAUUAUCCAUUGAAGCAUUUUCCCAUGGGUUAAUCUUCUGUUUUUACAAGAACCGGAAGUUGAGGAUUAAGUACGUGGGCAAUCGAGAAAAUCAUCUUAUAUAAAUAUAAAUAUUCCUCAGAUGAUGGAUCCAAGGUCUUCAUGAAAGGUAUCACACUAUUAAUUAUCAAGUCAUUUAAAUCCUUUUGAUAAAGUGUCUGUUGAAGUCGUUGGAUCAUCACGAACAAAGACAGUAACUCGUUCUUGUCGGAAUAUUGAAUGGUUAAUGGCUCAGUGAACAUCAGAAAAUACUUGUAGCUAGUUUGAUUCCAUAUUCCAUUCUGUAACCAUCCCUUAGCGACAGAGUACCCGUACUUGAACCCAUUGGCAGUUGACCUUCGAGUUUUCAGUACAUCAUAUUUUUUUACUUUCGAUAUUUUACUCAAAUUAUCCAACUCAAAAUAUUUCUUCUUGUGCAAUGCAGAAUUCUCCGGAGUUUCGUGCAGAUCCCGAUAUAAUUCUCCAAAACCUUUGAUAAGCCUAACGUGAUUAUUCGAACCAGAAGUCUGUGAUUGAUUGUGAUGCUGAAAAAAAAUGUUAACAGCUCAUCUCAAUGAUUGGACAACAUAGAAGAGAUACAGUAAUUUUAAUGCAUAAGCCCAAUAAUCUGAAAAUCGUAAUUGACUUACGAAUGAAUUCAAAUCAUCCAAAAAUGUCUUCACUCCAUCCCUCUUCUUCUCGUCAUUUUGUUUAUUCACAUAAGAAUGAUAAAUUUUCAAUGGUUUAAGCAACUCCUCCGGAACUCCGAACCGAUUUAAAGCCUCGACGAGGUCUAUAGUAACUCGUUUUCGCUCGGUAAACAGCCCUGAAGAAUUAUCACCGUGGACUGGACAAUUAUUGGCAAGGGGCACCAAGGAAGGUGACGAAGCGCUGUUGGAUGACUCCAGUGAAAUUUUUUUUAUAAGAUUAUGUAAUUCGGUGACUGAUGGAUAUCUACAUUUAGCCCUUAGACUAGUUUUGCUAUUCCCUGCAUUCCUCAAAUCAUUGGUGGAUUUCGAAUUAUUUUGGCUCAUCAUUCUGACACUCAUUUUGUUUGCAGCGAUGAAAUUCUUCGGCUUCGACUUCUCUGAUUUAUCAAUCAUGUUAACUUUCGCAUGAUUUCGGUUCUCCUGCUCUUUGACUGUUGUUUUAGCUUUGGAUUUAGGUUGAUGUGGUGCGUAAAUAUUCUGCAGAGUGGGUUUCGAAUUUUUUCGUUUGGCUUCUGCAUUUUUCAAAGAUAUGGAUUCUCUAAAUUUUUGGGCCUGAGCCAAUGCCGUUUUGAUUCCUGUGGCAAUUUCUUGUGCUUGUGACUCUGCGUCUGGAAUCUAUCCCCGAGAUGAGGCCAAUGAUAUUUUGUGAGAACUAUUCUAAUGAAUUUUGAACUAGUUGUUGAUGGCAGAUUAAUCCCUCCAAAAAUUUGAGUGCAAAAAUUUAGGGAAUUUCUUAGAACAUGCAAUGAGAUUCUUGAUAUUAUACAUUAGUUGUCCGUGACCCUAAUGUAUGACCCUAAAAUCAACAUAAUUUAUCGAGACUUACUGGAGCACAAGUGCAACAAUCCCCAUCAACUUGGCGAGUCACCAAAGUCUCUACAAUCCAAGGACGAAGAACGAAAUUCGCUCCAUCACAGUCUGCCUGCAAAAUUCUCCGGACAUUUUCAGUUGAUGACAGAGUAAAAUCCACAAACUGCAUCAAUAACGAUAAAUUUUCUCGUUUGCCUUCUUCUUCUCCCUUCAAUCCCUGUCACGAAGAAAAGCCAUAAUUAACCAUUGGAAAAGAAAUAACAAAUGCAGAAAUUCUUUAUCGAAAACGUUGACCUUUCAUUGAUGAUAAAAAUGAUACAAAAUCAAGAUUAAAUAUCUUAUAUAUUAUGAAGAAUAUGUUAUAAAGACUUAGUGGUAGAAUUUUUUCUUAAAAUCCAUUUCUUCUUGUGUAUCUUUUCAUAAUUCGACUCUUCACCGGUGUUGCUUCCACGACAAGUCUUCCACGAGAAUAUUAAUCAGUCAAAAUAAACACCAGAAAGCAAUUCACAUUAUUUAAUACAGUUAAAUUCUCACAUAACAACCAUUGUUCCUCAUAUACAUUGGAUUUAAUAUCAAAAUUCCAUUUUUUUUUAUUUCUUUCAGUUCUCAAUUUUGCAUCAUGAAGAUAUAUAAAAUAUUUGGGAAUCACUUCUCUUCAUGGUGGAAUGAUUGUGGCUAGGGAAUUGACAGAUGCAUUACUUAAAAUAAGGAAACCUGUAUAUAAUUAUUUUCUUGCUUUAUAAAAAUAAAAAUUGCCUCAAACUUUUGAUGAAUGUGGUGAAACAUUCCAAACGGUAAACCCUUGCAUCUAUUAAUUUUUUUUAUUGCCCUCGUAUUCAUUGAUUCAUGUUUCAAAACCGAGAUUGGUCAAUCACUCGAUUGCUGCAUGGUGCAGCACUCGAAGUUUCCCGGCAUAUUAGAACAUGAAAAUAAUUGAUGAGGACGAUUCCAAUA
Molecule: RNA transcript, 3741 nt
Organism: Diachasmimorpha longicaudata
Lineage: Eukaryota; Metazoa; Arthropoda; Insecta; Hymenoptera; Braconidae
Exons: 4
Source: RefSeq, a predicted model, not a curated record